This 351-nucleotide ribosomal RNA is filed under the name uncultured bacterium. Its description in RNAcentral is "bacterial SSU rRNA". It matches the Rfam family "Bacterial small subunit ribosomal RNA", at positions 914 to 1263 of the family's 1533-position model. The record is from RNAcentral.
CGGGGGCCCGCACAAGCGGUGGAGCAUGUGGUUUAAUUCGACGCAACGCGCAGAACCUUACCAGCCCUUGACAUGUCCAGGACCGGUCGCAGAGAUGUGACCUUCUCUUCGGAGCCUGGAGCACAGGUGCUGCAUGGCUGCCGUCAGCUCGUGUCGUGAGAUGUUGGGUUAAGUCCCGCAACGAGCGCAACCCCCGUCCUUAGUUGCUACCAUUUAGUUGAGCACUCUAAGGAGACUGCCGGUGAUAAGCCGCGAGGAAGGUGGGGAUGACGUCAAGUCCUCAUGGCCCUUACGGGCUGGGCUACACACGUGCUACAAUGGCGGUGACAAUGGGAUGCAAAGGGGCGACCC